AAAGUUACGCUAAUACCGCAUACGAUCUACGGAUGAAAGCAGGGGACCUUCGGGCCUUGUGCUAUACGAGCGGCCGAUGUCUGAUUAGCUAGUUGGUGAGGUAAAGGCUCACCAAGGCGACGAUCAGUAGCGGGUCUGAGAGGAUGAUCCGCCACACGUGGGACUGAGACACGGCCCAGACUCCGUACGGGAGGCAGCAGGUGGGGUAAUUUUGGAACAAUGGGCGAAAGCCUGAUCCAGCCAUGCCGCGUGUCUGAAGAAGGCCUUCGGGUUGUAAAGGACUUUUGUCAGGGAGCAAAACUUACUGGUUAAUACCCGGUGAGGCUGAGAGUACCUGAAGAAUAAGCACCGGCUAACUACGUGCCAGCAGCCGCGGUAAUACGUAGGGUGCAAGCGUUAAUCGGAAUUACUGGG
RNAcentral lists this ribosomal RNA (414 nucleotides) under uncultured bacterium. RNAcentral's name for it is "bacterial SSU rRNA". It matches the Rfam family "Bacterial small subunit ribosomal RNA", at positions 154 to 558 of the family's 1533-position model. The record is from RNAcentral.